Molecule: transfer RNA, 92 nt
Filed under: Ruminococcaceae bacterium OttesenSCG-928-N02
Lineage: Bacteria; Bacillati; Bacillota; Clostridia; Eubacteriales; Oscillospiraceae
Description: tRNA-Ser
Rfam family: tRNA
About the family: Transfer RNA (tRNA) molecules are approximately 80 nucleotides in length. Their secondary structure includes four short double-helical elements and three loops (D, anti-codon, and T loops). Further hydrogen bonds mediate the characteristic L-shaped molecular structure. tRNAs have two regions of fundamental functional importance: the anti-codon, which is responsible for specific mRNA codon recognition, and the 3' end, to which the tRNAs corresponding amino acid is attached (by aminoacyl-tRNA synthetases). tRNAs cope with the degeneracy of the genetic code in two manners: having more than one tRNA (with a specific anti-codon) for a particular amino acid; and 'wobble' base-pairing, i.e. permitting non-standard base-pairing at the 3rd anti-codon position.
Source: RNAcentral
GGAGAAGUACUCAAGCUGGCCGAAGAGGCGCCCCUGCUAAGGGCGUAGGGCGGGAAACCGUCGCGAGGGUUCAAAUCCCUCCUUCUCCGCCA